CCUACGGGAGGCAGCAGUGAGGAAUAUUGGUCAAUGGGCGCGAGCCUGAACCAGCCAAGUAGCGUGAAGGAUGACUGCCCUACGGGUUGUAAACUUCUUUUAUCAAGGAAUAAAGUGAGGCACGUGUGCCUUUUUGUAUGUACUUUAUGAAUAAGGCUCGGCUAACUCCGUGCCCGCCGCCGCGGUAAUACGGGGGAUCCGAGCGUUAUCCGGAUUUAUUGGGGUUAAAGGGAGAGUAGAGGGGUGGUUAAGUCAGGUGGGAAAGUUUGCGGGUCAACCGCAAAAUUGCAAUUGAUACUGGCAGUCUUGAGUACAGGUGAGGUAGGCGGAAUUCGUGGUGUAGCGGUGAAAUGCUUAGAUAUCACGAAGAACUCCGAUUGCGAAGGCAGUUCACUGGACUGCAACUGACACUGAGGCUCGAAAGUGUGGGUAUCAAACAGGAUUAGAUACCCCUGUAGUC
Molecule: ribosomal RNA, 460 nt
Filed under: uncultured bacterium
Lineage: Bacteria
Description: partial 16S ribosomal RNA
Rfam family: Bacterial small subunit ribosomal RNA
Source: RNAcentral